CGACGACGCAUCAUCUGUCGGGCUGACGCGCACCAGAGAAGGCAGAGAUCGAGAUCCAUGAUCCGUCGUCGUCGUCAACCCCCUGCCUUUCAGGGGACAGCACACGGGUCCCGGCGAUCCUCAGGAGAUGUGGCUCGCGUCAUCCACGCGCUGCGCCCCGAUCUUCCAAAGAUCACGUUCCUGCUGCGGGUUCUGUGACUGCGAGCCUCUCUCACGUUGUCAACUUGGCCUUUUCGGCCAGCUUUGCCUUUUCGAGGUGCGGCAGUUCUCUGCUUUUGUUGUUGUUGUUUCCCUCGGCUCCUUGCUGCUCGUCACGUUUCAGUCGAUUGGAAAUUCUAGAGCCCACGUCACCUUGUGUUCAUUGACAGCUUUGAUUUGUUGGACAUAGAAAAUCCAGCAAUCAGCUUCCCACUUCAUUGACAGUGCAUUUUGUAUAGUUUCCGGCUCGUGAUAAACGAAAGAAAUGAGGUUCGUGCUCUUCUCAUGCAUGCGUGGCUUUCUGGAUAGCAAAGAGAUGUAGUGAAGUAAGUUACCUAGAAAGAUAUUUCACCGUUGCCAUGCAGCGAGAGCCACAGGACCUUCGAUCGAUGCCUGACCGACCAUGUUGAAU
RNAcentral lists this long non-coding RNA (610 nucleotides) under Setaria italica (foxtail millet). RNAcentral describes it as "long non-coding RNA (SITA_LNC007109)". The record is from RNAcentral. Lineage: Eukaryota; Viridiplantae; Streptophyta; Magnoliopsida; Poales; Poaceae.